AUGAACGCUGGCGGCGUGCCUAAUACGUGCAAGUCGAGCGAACAGACGAGGAGCUUGCUCCUCUGACGUUAGCGGCGGACGGGUGAGUAACACGUGGAUAACCUACCUAUAAGACUGGGAUAACUUCGGGAAACCGGAGCUAAUACCGGAUAAUAUAUUGAACCGCAUGGUUCAAUAGUGAAAGACGGUUUUGCUGUCACUUAUAGAUGGAUCCGCGCCGCAUUAGCUAGUUGGUAAGGUAACGGCUUACCAAGGCAACGAUGCGUAGCCGACCUGAGAGGGUGAUCGGCCACACUGGAACUGAGACACGGUCCAGACUCCUACGGGAGGCAGCAGUAGGGAAUCUUCCGCAAUGGGCGAAAGCCUGACGGAGCAACGCCGCGUGAGUGAUGAAGGUCUUCGGAUCGUAAAACUCUGUUAUUAGGGAAGAACAAAUGUGUAAGUAACUAUGCACGUCUUGACGGUACCUAAUCAGAAAGCCACGGCUAACUACGU
This 495-nucleotide ribosomal RNA is filed under the name uncultured bacterium. RNAcentral describes it as "partial 16S ribosomal RNA". It matches the Rfam family "Bacterial small subunit ribosomal RNA", at positions 29 to 506 of the family's 1533-position model. The record is from RNAcentral.